GGGCCCAUAGCUCAGCUGGUAGAGCUCCCGGCUCAUAACCGGUUGGUCCCUGGUUCGAAUCCAGGUGGGCCCA
RNAcentral lists this transfer RNA (73 nucleotides) under Desulfomonile tiedjei DSM 6799. It matches the Rfam family "tRNA". Rfam says of the family: Transfer RNA (tRNA) molecules are approximately 80 nucleotides in length. Their secondary structure includes four short double-helical elements and three loops (D, anti-codon, and T loops). Further hydrogen bonds mediate the characteristic L-shaped molecular structure. tRNAs have two regions of fundamental functional importance: the anti-codon, which is responsible for specific mRNA codon recognition, and the 3' end, to which the tRNAs corresponding amino acid is attached (by aminoacyl-tRNA synthetases). tRNAs cope with the degeneracy of the genetic code in two manners: having more than one tRNA (with a specific anti-codon) for a particular amino acid; and 'wobble' base-pairing, i.e. permitting non-standard base-pairing at the 3rd anti-codon position. The record is from Rfam by way of RNAcentral. RNAcentral also lists the same sequence under 1 other name. Lineage: Bacteria; Pseudomonadati; Thermodesulfobacteriota; Desulfomonilia; Desulfomonilales; Desulfomonilaceae.